AUUAAAAUGCUUGUUUUGGUUAUGUUUAAGGGAACUCAUAAUUUUUAUCUUUGUCCACUGUUAGCUAUGUAAAACAACUCAAUAAAAGUUCACUUUUCAAUGCUUUAAUAGUUCAAUUGGUAAAAAUAGUAGGUGUUUAUUCUACAAAAAAUCACUGAGUUUUUUAUAUGUAAAGAAAGAAAUGGAAAUCUGUAAGUUCAUACAGGGACAUAUAUAUGGGGAACUUGCAUCCAGCACACGAGCAUUUGCAUCCACCACUAAGGGCAUUUGCAUCCCACACAUGAGCUACGUGCUUGACAGUUGCACACUGCCGCCAUGAACAUGCACAAAUGAUAUUAAGUAGAAGUUUGUUGGUUCAAUUUUUUUAUUGAUUUACCUUGUUUAAGUAGUAAUGCAGCAAUAAAAUGUGUAGUUGUACUGAAGUUUUAGUUGUUAUGUGGGGAACCCGGAGGCCAUUUAUUUUGGUUUAAGUUCAUCUUGUCUGUUCUUUUCAGUCUGUAUGCUUUAUUGUGCAUAAUCUUGAGGAAAUCCCCAAAAAUCAUGUGUGCACUCAAGGUAAUUAAGUGGCUUUGUAAAUUCUGACAGUCCAUCCCAGACUAAGCAAACAGUACAUGUUAGUCUUGGUUUGUGGUUAGACAUGCAAUCUGGUUUCAUAGAUGCUUCUGCUCAGACUGGAAAUACUAUGUUUUAGAUUCGGAGUUUAUAACACAUCAUUGGAUUUGCCAAGGCCGUGUCCUCCUAAGAUAAGAAGAGCGACAAGGAGAUGGAGAGCUCGGUCUUUUUUUCGUGGAGCUGGCGCUGCUGCAGUACGGCCUAGUCCAGUCUAAGCCCUCCAUGGUUGUUGCUGCUGUUUCGGCAACCAGGAUCACCCCCGAAGAAGACCCCUAUGUGGACUGACAAUCUAAAUUAUAGAUUUUCCAGAUCGGGGAAGGUGCGGAGCUUGCCUGAUUGCUUGCUAUUUUGCAUGUUCUGUUUACCCACUAUGCAUGUGUUGCUGCUUCUAGGAGCCCUAAAUUUAGGGUCAGUACCACGCCGAUAAGCCAGGCAGUCGGCCUUUGCAUCACGAACUGAUGCAGUUUGAUCUUGCGCAAGUGGGAAAUUCCCUCAUGCCGAGUGUAUCAGUAACACCCUACGCUCCAAGCAUGCCUCCUCCUGGUCGCCCAUCAGUUCUCUUGUUCCUUGCCGCUUCUCCUAACAUCACCAUAAAAGUUUUGCUAGGAAAAAAAUGUGUGGAUAAAAAGAAGAUUGCAGUGACAGUAAUUUUGGUUGCCAUUUCUCUCUAUAGCAGAUUGCAUCCGCACAAAAAAUGCUACUGCAGUUUACUCUAUGUAAAAAAUGUAUAAGGUUCAAUUCACAAAAACAUGUGGAAGUUCGUUUGGGAAACUCUGCAUUCUAUUUGAUUACGCCAAGAUGUACAGGAUGACUAUUCUUUAUUGUGUGCCUUCAGUACAAUUUAAAUUUACUAUUUUACCA
Triticum aestivum (bread wheat) is the source of this 1473-nucleotide long non-coding RNA. RefSeq lists it as uncharacterized. The transcript has 4 exons. The record is from RefSeq and is a predicted model, not a curated record. Lineage: Eukaryota; Viridiplantae; Streptophyta; Magnoliopsida; Poales; Poaceae.